GAUGAACGCUAGCUACAGGCUUAACACAUGCAAGUCGAGGGGAAACGAUAUUGGAAGCUUGCUUCCGAUAGGCGUCGACCGGCGCACGGGUGAGUAACGCGUAUCCAACCUGCCCACCACUUGGGGAUAACCUUGCGAAAGUAAGACUAAUACCCAAUGACGUCUCUAGAAGACAUCUGAAAGAGAUUAAAGAUUUAUCGGUGAUGGAUGGGGAUGCGUCUGAUUAGCUUGUUGGCGGGGUAACGGCCCACCAAGGCGACGAUCAGUAGGGGUUCUGAGAGGAAGGUCCCCCCACAUUGGAACUGAGACACGGUCCAAACUCCUACGGGAGGCAGCAGUGAGGAAUAUUGGUCAAUGGGCGAGAGCCUGAACCAGCCAAGUAGCGUGCAGGAUGACGGCCCUAUGGGUUGUAAACUGCUUUCAGUCGGGAAUAAUUCGUCGGUCGUGACCGGCGUUGCAGGUACCGUCAUAAGAAGGACCGGCUAAUUCCGUG
Molecule: ribosomal RNA, 493 nt
Filed under: uncultured bacterium
Lineage: Bacteria
Description: bacterial SSU rRNA
Rfam family: Bacterial small subunit ribosomal RNA
Source: RNAcentral